CUCUAAGUUUCCCAAAAAUGCACAACUUUUCUAGAGAGUCUAAUGACUUCUACCGAGGUGUUGAAAUAAAUAAAUCAAUAAAAUUGAAAUAAAGCUUUUUAUUUGAUGAAAAAAAAUUCAUUUGCAUGGUCAAAAGAGAAAGAAGGAGGGGGACAAAGGGAGGAAGGGACCACAUGGGCUGGUGAAGAGAAUCGGGGUUUGCAUGAAGAUCCGCGUGUGCUUCCUCUUUAAGAUGUUCUCCCACGUGUUUCUGCUUCCCUUAUUAUAAAACCAAAAUAUAUUCGUAACACACUAUAUACAUAAUCCAUUACUCAUUAAAUCUAACAAAAGAUUGAGAUAAAAAAGAGACUCGUAACGACUCAAAUCUCGGCCCAUAAAAAUUUAGCCCAGUAAAAUCCAAUUACAUCGUAAAAAACCCUAAAAUUUUUUUAUUUAAGAUGGGAUUUCGUGGUGGUCUCUGACAGAGACUUUUGGGGAUGGCAAAACCCUGCCAGAACGUCACCGGAACAGCCACAAAUAGCCACCAUGAAAGAGAAGUCAUCCUACCAUCCGAAAAGAGAGAGUAUAGCUCUGCAGAUACGUUUUGGGGGAAUAGAAGAACGAUCAAUCAAAUAUGAGUAUUUCGAAGCUAAAUUUUAAGAUCGGAUCCGCGAACAGUCAACUUCAUCAGCGUUUUACCGUUGAUACAGAAGGAACCAGGGAACGGGCGAGAUAUCAUUGGAAAGAUCUAGAUGCCAGCUUUUCAGAUCAUCUAUCCGAUUGUCAAAUCGACGUACGGUUAGAAAGUUAUUGACGUUUCUUCUUGGCAAAGAAUAAAGCUGUUGAGUUGCAGAGAUAGUUCCGACCAGUCUCGGUGUAAGUGAGAAACGGUCGAGAGAAACAAAAUAUUUCAGUCUGGAAAUUUGUCAGUAAGUAGUUAAUUCUCUUAUCUAUCAUCUCCUGCAAGCGGAUCGUUAUUCCGAGUUAUUUUCUGAGAGUUAUGCUUGUUUUCGUGAGAGGUGUUGGUGCAGUUUGCGUUUACGACCAGCCUGGAGAUGAAGCUACUUUGGUUAAGAAAAUGGUGUCCGAUCAGAGUAAACUUGGUGUCUAUGGAUAGAGGACAUAUAGGAAUACAUUAUGACCGGAGGGAUCUAAACGUUAACGGUCCGUUAUUGAGUUAUUCAUCUUUUUGCUCUAUGGUUCAGCUCUGCCAGAAUAUCAUAUUGAUCUAAUUUCAGAGAGCUCCAGAGUUGCUUUGUUAGAGCCGUCAAGGUCCAUUCGGCGUUUCCUCAGGUUUCUUUAGAACCCGUGGCAAAGCUAUGAGUAGGGACUAUGUGCGCGGGCGGGGGCUCAGAGAUGUCUGGGCUAGCGACGCUACUUUGAUUGUGCGGGCAGGGGUUCAGAGGCGUCUGGACUUGCGAUGCUACUUGUGCGGGCGUGUGGUGCAGAGACGUUUGUACCAUGGACGCUACUUGAGAGGGCGGGGGUACAGAGACAGACUGUACUAGCGACGCUAUGUAUUAUAUAUCCAUAUGAGGAGAUGCGGGGUGUAUGGACUAGCUAUAUGCUAUCAUCGCAGUGUUUGUGUUGUGUUUAUGUGAUGCUUUAGGUGUCUUGUUUGUUCAUGUUAGAGCUAAACUUCCAUAGUGGAAGUUCUAUUACUCAAGUCAGUGGUUUGCGUGUUUGGCAUCUCAUACCUCACGGAGUAACUCCCCUGUUACUCACCCCUCCUAUUCCUUCCCCGUUCAGGUGAGACUGACGAGCAUGAGUGAUUGCUAUCGCACUGGUGUUUUGGGAGUUUUAUUUCUGUCUUUUUCAGAUUUGCGGAUUUUAAUCUUUUAUCGAUAUUUUCGGGAUUUAUUAUGUUAUUUAGAUUUAUGGCUAUUUAUUGAAUUUACGAUUUUGGAGUUGACUU
This is an RNA transcript of Brassica napus (rape), 1894 nucleotides long. RefSeq lists it as uncharacterized. The record is from RefSeq and is a predicted model, not a curated record. NCBI's taxonomy places the organism in Eukaryota, Viridiplantae, Streptophyta, Magnoliopsida, Brassicales, Brassicaceae. The transcript has 3 exons.